GAUGAACGCUAGCGGCAGGCCUAAUACAUGCAAGUCGAACGAGAUUAAGAGGCUUGCUUCUUAUGAAAGUGGCGCACGGGUGCGUAACGCGUAUGCAGCCUACCUUAAUCAGGGGGAUAGCCCGAAGAAAUUCAGAUUAAGACCGCAUAAAAACACAGGAUAGCAUUAUCCAAUGUUCAAAUAUUUAUAGGAUUAAGAUGGGCAUGCGUGUCAUUAGCUAGUUGGCGGGGUAACGGCCCACCAAGGCGACGAUGACUAGGGGAUCUGAGAGGAUGACCCCCCACACUGGUACUGAGACACGGACCAGACUCCUACGGGAGGCAGCAGUAAGGAAUAUUGGUCAAUGGAGGGAACUCUGAACCAGCCAUGCCGCGUGCAGGAAGACAGCCCUCUGGGUCGUAAACUGCUUCUAUUCGGGAAUAAACCUUUCUACGUGUAGGAAGCUGAAUGUACCGAAGGAAUAAGGAUCGGCUAACUCCGUGCCAGCCGCCGCCGUAA
RNAcentral lists this ribosomal RNA (498 nucleotides) under uncultured bacterium. RNAcentral's name for it is "partial 16S ribosomal RNA". It matches the Rfam family "Bacterial small subunit ribosomal RNA", at positions 28 to 523 of the family's 1533-position model. The record is from RNAcentral.